This 59-nucleotide transfer RNA is filed under the name Phascolarctos cinereus (koala). RNAcentral's name for it is "tRNA-Ser". The record is from RNAcentral. Lineage: Eukaryota; Metazoa; Chordata; Mammalia; Diprotodontia; Phascolarctidae.
AAGAAAGAUCUAAGAACUGCUAAUUCUUAAUACCAUACCUAACAAACAUGGCUUUCUUA